AAUCCUUUAACGAGGAUCUAUUGGAGGGCAAGUCUGGUGCCAGCAGCCGCGGUAAUUCCAGCUCCAAUAGCGUAUAUUAAAGUUGUUGUGGUUAAAAAGCUCGUAGUUGGAUCUCAGUUCGAGUCAGGCGGUCCACUUGCCAGUGGCUACUGCCUGACUGAACACUUUACCGAGUUGUCCUAUGGUGUUCUUCACCGAGCGUCAUAGGCGAUCGGUACGUUUACUUUGAAAAAAUUAGAGUGCUCAAAGCAGGCGUAACGCCCGAAUAAUGUUGCAUGGAAUAAUGGAAUAGGACCUCGGUUCUAUUUUGUUGGUCUUCGGAAUCAGAGGUAAUGAUCAAUAGGGACAGACGGGGACAUUCGUAUUGCGGCGCUAGAGGUGAAAUUCUUGGACCGUCGCAAGACGAACUAAAGCGAAAGCAUUUGUCAAGAAUGUUUUCAUUAAUCAAGAACGAAAGUUAGAGGUUCGAAGGCGAUCAGAUACCGCCCUAGUUCUAACCAUAAACGAUGCCAACCAGUAAUUCGUCUGAGUUCCUUAAAUGACUCGACGAGGGACUUCCGGGAAACCAAAGUCUUUCGGUUCCAGGGGAAGUAUGGUUGCAAAGCUGAAACUUAAAGAAAUUGACGGAAGGGCACCACCAGGAGUGGAGCCUGCGGCUUAAUUUGACCCAACACGGGAAAACUCACCCGGCCCGGACACUGGAAGGAUUGACAGAUUGAGAGCUCUUUCUUGAUUCAGUGGGUGGUGGUGCAUGGCCGUUCUUAGUUGGUGGAGUGAUUUGUCUGGUUAAUUCCGAUAACGAACGAGACUCUAGCCUACUAAAUAGAUCGUCGGCUUACAAACGCCGGCGAGACUUCUUAGAGGGACAGGCGGUGAUUCAACCGCACGAAACAGAGCAAUAACAGGUCUGUGAUGCCCUUAGAUGUCCGGGGCCGCACGCGCGCUACACUGAAGUGAUCAGCGUGCUUUUUCAACCUACUCUGUCAAGAGUGGGGAACCCAAUGAACCUUCUUCGUGAUUGGGAUAGGGGAUUGUAAUUAUUCCCCUUGAACGAGGAAUUCCCAGUAAGCGCGAGUCAUAAGCUCGCGUUGAUUACGUCCCUGCCCUUUGUACACACCGCCCGUCGCUACUACCGAUUGAAUGUUUUAGUGAGGUCUUCGGACUGGCCGGCGCAGCACUCUCGUAGUGCAGCGCUGUGUUUGGAAAGAUGCCCAAACUUGAACAUUUAGAGGAAGUAAAAGUCGUAACAAGGUUUCCGUAGGUGAACCUGCGGAAG
Molecule: ribosomal RNA, 1276 nt
Filed under: metagenome
Description: SSU rRNA
Rfam family: Eukaryotic small subunit ribosomal RNA
Source: RNAcentral